RNAcentral lists this ribosomal RNA (253 nucleotides) under uncultured bacterium. Its description in RNAcentral is "partial 16S ribosomal RNA". It matches the Rfam family "Bacterial small subunit ribosomal RNA", at positions 524 to 776 of the family's 1533-position model. The record is from RNAcentral.
UACAGAGGGUGCAAACGUUGCUGGGAAUCAUUGGGCGUAAAGCGCACGUAGGCGGCCUAGCAAGUAGGGAGUGAAAGCCCUCGGCUUAACCGAGGAAGUGCUUUCUAAACUACUAGGCUUGAAUACUGGAGAGGGUCGCGGAAUUCCCGGUGUAGAGGUGAAAUUCGUAGAUAUUCGGAAGAACACCAGUGGCGAAGGCGGCUCACUGGACUGGUAUUGACGCUGAGGUGCGAAAGCGUGGGGAGCAAACAGG